Long non-coding RNA from Ornithorhynchus anatinus (platypus), 1270 nucleotides. RefSeq lists it as uncharacterized. NCBI's taxonomy places the organism in Eukaryota, Metazoa, Chordata, Mammalia, Monotremata, Ornithorhynchidae. The transcript has 4 exons. The record is from RefSeq and is a predicted model, not a curated record.
UUCAAAGAGAUAAACGGGUGAGUAAUACCUGAUUGGAUGUCUUUGCAGGCCUUCUCUGAUGCUUCAGUUCUUUUUGGAAGCCUGGAAAGAGCAAAGCACUGGCAUUUUAUGUAUACGCAUCUGGUGCUUUUUGAAAGCCUAUAUUGUUUCCUCAGAGGAAGAUCGACCCAGAAGAUGCCGGAUGGUAAUCAGAAGCAGUGACGCUGGUGUUGCUGACACUGACCUAAGCAACAAUCUCCACGGAAAGGAAGAUUAACGUGAUAGAUUGUAACAUCUCCAUAGAAGUACUAAAGCAUUUCUAAGGUGGACCAACCAAGUGGCGAAAAUGAACUGGAACUAGCGCUUCGGCCAACAGCAGGACCUCCUGGGCCCAUGGGCACAGUUUAACUGUUUCCAUGUAGAUCAACUCAUUGGCAACCGAAGGUUUUGAACUGCCUGCAUACUAUUGAAAUUUGGGGUCAAUCAGACUCCAUUACCACUAACCCAAGCGAUCAGGCACUGAACAAGAAGGAGUAUAAAUAAUAGCAGCACCAAGCCCUCAACCACUCCUGGGAAAUUUCAGAAUCACCUUUCCAUACCCUAAUGGGCAAGUAUGUGUUUACUGUUCUUGUGGAACGACAAGCGACUGUAGCCUUAUAACCUCCCCAGGGAUUUUAAGAAUUUCUUUUUUCUUCUCAUUGAAGCCUACUUACUGACUUCUUGCUCUUAGCAUUUUCAGCUUCAGGAAUUCCCUUUUGAAGGAAUGAAUGCAUGAGCAAUAACUAAUGCACUCCAGAAUGAUGUUUGCCACUCAUCGAGUUUUGUUUUCUUGGUUUUGCCAAGAACAUAAAGAGCUUCUGCUGCUUUUUGUUUUCUACAAACUACAUCUGAAAGCAUUUGGGUGACUAAGCCAUGAAAAGAAAUGAAAAGGCAAAUAGGCGGUGGAAUGUCAUUGAAUCCUCUUGGCCUAAGAGGGCACAGCAUUAGGUGAUGAAUGUCAGUCGGCUGAUAUUGUAAGCUCCCUAAGGGACAAGGACAGUGAGUCAUUUAUUCCUAUUGUAUGUUCUUAAAUGUCCAGCACGGAGUUCUGCGUACAGGGGGUGCUCAAUAAAUUCUGGUGCCAUUGGGGAUGAUGGAGACACAGAAUGCAAUCCUGGCAAUGUGCCCAGAAAACUGUCAAUCUGUUAUUCAAACAACCAGGGCAGGAAUAGUGAGGAAGAGACCCAAUCAACCACUCAAAUGAUUGUACUUAUUGAGUGCUUACUGUGUGCAGAGAACUUUACUAAGUGUU